GGGGCUGUAGCUCAGUUGGGAGAGCGCUACAAUGGCAUUGUAGAGGUCAGGGGUUCGAUUCCCCUUGGCUCCACCA
Molecule: transfer RNA, 76 nt
Filed under: Rhodospirillaceae bacterium
Lineage: Bacteria; Pseudomonadati; Pseudomonadota; Alphaproteobacteria; Rhodospirillales; Rhodospirillaceae
Description: tRNA-Ala
Rfam family: tRNA
About the family: Transfer RNA (tRNA) molecules are approximately 80 nucleotides in length. Their secondary structure includes four short double-helical elements and three loops (D, anti-codon, and T loops). Further hydrogen bonds mediate the characteristic L-shaped molecular structure. tRNAs have two regions of fundamental functional importance: the anti-codon, which is responsible for specific mRNA codon recognition, and the 3' end, to which the tRNAs corresponding amino acid is attached (by aminoacyl-tRNA synthetases). tRNAs cope with the degeneracy of the genetic code in two manners: having more than one tRNA (with a specific anti-codon) for a particular amino acid; and 'wobble' base-pairing, i.e. permitting non-standard base-pairing at the 3rd anti-codon position.
Source: RNAcentral